RNAcentral lists this ribosomal RNA (343 nucleotides) under uncultured bacterium. RNAcentral describes it as "bacterial SSU rRNA". It matches the Rfam family "Bacterial small subunit ribosomal RNA", at positions 8 to 334 of the family's 1533-position model. The record is from RNAcentral.
AGGGUUUGAUUCUGGCUCAGGACGAACGCUGGCGGCGUGCCUAACACAUGCAAGUCGAGCGGGAAGCUGCUCACGGAGGCUUCGGCCGAAGUGAGCAGUGGAGAGCGGCGGACGGGUGAGUAACGCGUGAGUAACCUGCCCAUAAGAGGGGGAUAACAACCGGAAACGGUUGCUAAUACCGCAUAAAAUAGUUAAACCGCAUGGUUUAACUAUCAAAGAUUUAUCGCUUAUGGAUGGACUCGCGUCCAAUUAGCUAGUAGGUAGGGUAACGGCCUACCUAGGCGACGAUUGGUAGCCGAACUGAGAGGUUGAUCGGCCACAUUGGGACUGAGACACGGCCCAG